This 66-nucleotide non-coding RNA is filed under the name Isoptericola dokdonensis. The record is from RNAcentral. RNAcentral also lists the same sequence under 1 other name. Lineage: Bacteria; Bacillati; Actinomycetota; Actinomycetes; Micrococcales; Promicromonosporaceae.
GCGGAACCCGACGGCGGGUUCGCGGACGAGGGAGCAGUACCCGCACCACGACAAGACUGCCGCGAA